Long non-coding RNA from Myripristis murdjan (pinecone soldierfish), 4015 nucleotides. RefSeq lists it as uncharacterized. The record is from RefSeq and is a predicted model, not a curated record. The transcript is spliced from 2 exons. Lineage: Eukaryota; Metazoa; Chordata; Actinopteri; Holocentriformes; Holocentridae.
UGCCCAACGGGGUAAGCUACUCACUCCUUGCAAGUAAAAAUUUACUACUCAACUGGGCGUUGUCUGUCUCCUUUGUCAGGAGGUGAUCUCAGAAUUUUAGUAACAACUUGGUCCUUCGAGCCGGAUCCCAACAUCUCUGACUGGAGGACGGGGAGGAACUGGUGAAGCUGAAAAACCUGUGCACAGUCUGGUCUGGGACCUGAAAGACCUCCACCGCAGAGUUCGGUGAAAAAAGAGGCCAGCUGAACCAGGACACCUCCGUCCAACAGUGGGGUGACGGGAUCCGAACAACAGUGAACGAGACCCUGCCUGCCUAAGAAGACACCAGUUGAGUGAGUAUGAGUGUGUUUGAGAGGUCGCGCGCAUGAACCGUUCUUGGGUGAACCGUUCUUGAGUGAGAGGUUGCUGCCCAGAGGGGUAAGCUACUCACUCCUAGUAAAGACCUGAUUAGGGAGGUCUCUAAAGACAAACCUCGCGCAUGCACGUUAAAGAUAAAGCUAGCAAAGAACGGUGUGAUUGGUGUGUGAUUGAUGAGUGAUUGGGUUCGCGACAGCCGAAGCAGCGGGCAGAGGGUAAACCUGAUCGGUGUCAACUGACUCUGCUGACUGUUGAAGUAGGCUGUUGGCGUUCCAUUGGCAAAUAUGAGAAGUAGUGGCAGUAAAAAGAUUGAACCUCAGCUGAUGGCUGAUGCAAAAUACAUGCAUAAACGUUACCCUGGCUCUUGUGAACAAUUGAGCAUGUGGCAAAAGAAAUAUGAUUUCAAUGAAACUCGGAGUAACUGCUUGUACUCUGUUGGUAAAAAAAGAAAAAAAAAUUGAUUGGGUGCAAAAAAAAAAUGGUUGGUCUGAACUCAAGUGACCUUUCAGCAUAGCUGGACUAUGUAAGAUAGAUAGAUAGAUAGAUAGAUAGAUAGAUAUAUUGAUCCCAACCAGGGAAAUUCUGGUGUUCCAGCAGCAACAGUAGAAACAUACAAUAAAGUUAAAUAAAAAAGAAUAAAGGCUAAUUAUAUACAGUAAAGUCUAUAAAGACUAAAAACUAAAACAUACAAUAAGGGCUAACCUAAGAAAAAGAGAUAUGAGAUGUGAAAUAUGCAGAUGGUAAUGAAUAUGACAAUAUACAGAGGGAGUAGAAAGUAAAAAGUAGUAAAAGUAUGGACUAAAAUAUGCACAAAUGUGGAAAGAGGAAGCAGUAUGAUGAAGAUUAUGGUUGUAAUUCUUCAGCACCGUCACAACAAGCACAACAACAACAGGCAGGACAGAGACGUGCCACGUCUCCCCCAUACUGCCUCGCCACCACCUUUUGCGGCAGCACAGGCAGAGCUGGAUGCGCUUAAAGGUGCUGUAGGUGGAAAGGAAAGGAAAGAAUGGAAAUGCAGGGAAGAAAAAAUGAGGAGAGCAUGGAAAUGUUUGAACUAGAGGUUUAUUUGAAGCAAAUUGAUAAAAAAAACAAACAAAAAAAAAACCCACUAUUGACCUCUAUGCAAUGGAUAAGCUGAUCACCUUUCUUUGUGAUUCUGGAGCUGAUAAAAUAGUGGUGAAUGAUCCCUGGUUCUCAGAUAAACUGUCAAAUGAUUUUGUCUGGGACAGAUCAGCAAAUGGUCUGAUGUCAAAGGAAUUUCUGACAUAUAACAUGUUUGUGAAGGAUGACCUUACUGGCAGAAGCACAAAGACACAACACCUUUAUUCUAGCAGCUGCCCGGUUAAUCUUUUGAGCAGACAAACAAUGUGCGAACUGAGCUUGGCCUUGCUUCCCACACUCAAGGGCCUGAUAGUUAAACAAGUAAACAACGGUGAAGACGUUUUUGUUAUGGAAGGGCGAGGGCAGCCCCAAUAUUUUUACACUUUGGACUUGUGUGCUUCAGCAGUCAGUGACAUCCCACGCACAUUGAUAGAAAUGGCAGAUGCACGUGUUCCAUCCAUGUCAGAAAAACACAGCUACACAGACUUACACUGUACAAUGUACUUCCCUCAUUCUGGUGAACCAGAUAAAAAAUAUAAGCUAAACUUGGUCAGCUGACAGAUCUACAACUCAGUUUAACAGACAUGGUGUGGGACAAACACGGAAACUCUGUGGUUGCAGUUUCACUAACUAACACACAGCAGCUCCUGUACAGAGAACAUGCACCUCCACAUGUGUCUCUUACUCGUAACCCCAACACAGAAUGGAGAGACCUCUACCGUCUCCUGUGUCAGACAAAAAUUGGCACUGAUUGCCACCCUGUGCAGACCCACCUUUUCUACAGUCCCACAUAUGGACUGUACAAACAACGCCUCAAUUGGUGCACGCGAGUGGAAACUGCAACCCACUUGAUACAAUAAUAAUAAUAAUAAUGAUAAAUCUUAUUUGUAACGCACUUUACAUUUAACAAUCUUAAAGUGCUACAGAGGAGAAAGAAGAAAAAUAUCAGAAAGUUGAGAAGAAGUGUCUUUGUCCUCUGAGGAGGAAGAGCGAUUGACUGAGAUAAAUCCAAACUUGUGGUCCUCUGGACCCGCUGAUGUUGGUUUGAUAAAGGUGCAACACCGGUACAAAUUACACCAAAGACUUCUUUUAGGCCAUGUGUUAAACAAUAUCCCCUAAAGAGAGAUGCUGAAGAAGGCAUAUCAGAUACUAUAGAUGCGUUGGUAAAGGCAGGUGUUAUAGUUCCUUGCCCUGAUUCACCUGUUAAUACUCCAUUGUUCCCUGUAAAGAAAGCAGCCAUCCCAGUGCAUCCCGACAGUCAAUUCUGGUUUGCCUUCAUGUAUAAACGAAAGAAGUGGACGUUCACACAUUUAGCCCAAAGUUACUGUGAAUCUCCCACCAUUUUCUCACAAUGGAUGUCAUCUAAUCUAGCUAAAUUUUCACCACUCUGUGUUAGUAAAUUACUGCUGUAUGUUGAUGACAUAUUGUUAGCUUCCCCUACAGAAAAAGCAUGUCAAAUUGACAUGAAAGCCUUGCUAAAAUUCUUAGCUGAUAAUGGGCACAAAGUCAAUAAAGCAAAAUUGCAGCUCUAGCGUCCUACAGUUAAAUAUUUGGGUGACAACAUUAGUGCAGACGGAAAAGCCUUAGAUCCGAAAUGUAAACAAGUCAUUCUUAAUGCACCUAAACCAUGCACCAAACAACUGUUCAACAAUUGUUGUUCAAAUGGUGUAUUGUAAAAAUGGUCACAUGUCAUCAGUCCUGUUGCAGUCUUAUGGUGACAAGUUGAGACCCUUGGCAUACUAUUCUUCUAAAUUAGAUUCUGUCACCUUAGCGUUCCCAGUAUGUGUCCAGGCGGUUAUUGUUGCUUCAAUGGCCGUUCAGGCAUCUUCUAGUAUUGUUCACUUUCACCCCCUUACAGUAUAGCCUUUUCUGACACAGAUUCCAUUGAGUCUGAACGAUCUUUUUGGUUGUCUCAUGGUGCUUCAAUUGUUGAUGGUAUUUACUUCUCUCCUGAAAAAAAAAAAAAAACUAUUUCCCUAGAAAUCUAUAUAGAUGGGCGUGUAUUUUGAGCCACGGUCCUUGCCAUGGUUCGACAGGAGGGAUGAAUACCCUUAUAUUAAGUAAAUCCACAGCAUACGGUUUCAGAAAUUUUUCAAAGAAUUUUGUAGCAAGAUGACACAUAUGUGCAGAAUUCAAUACCCAGGGACGGCUGAAACCAAAACGAGGAGUUUUCCCAAUGCCCACAGAACCAUUUGAAGCUAUGGCAUUGGAUCUUAUACAACUUAAUAAAUGUGAAGGGAAAGAAUAUUGCCUUGUAAUGAUAGAUAUGUUUAGUAAAUGGGUAGAGAUAUUCCCCACAAAAAAUCCAGUUGCCCUGACAGUAGCCAAAGCAUUGUGUAGAGAAAUUAUUCCUAGAUAUGGCAUCCCCAGAACGCUAUAUAGUGACAAUGGAGCCCACUUUGUAAACAAAAUCAUAGAACAUGUGGGAACAAGACUACAGAUAGAUUUAAAGAAUUAUCGUGCCUACCAUCCUCAAAGUGCAGGGCUGGUAGAGAGAUAUAAUGGAACAAUAAAAAAAUUAACUUAGGAAAUGUAGGGCUGAAUCAGGAAAAAAAAA